RNAcentral lists this ribosomal RNA (300 nucleotides) under uncultured bacterium. RNAcentral's name for it is "bacterial SSU rRNA". It matches the Rfam family "Bacterial small subunit ribosomal RNA", at positions 1078 to 1382 of the family's 1533-position model. The record is from RNAcentral.
GGUAGUCCGUACGAGCGCACCCUUGUCCUUAGUUGCCAGCACGUAAUGGUGGGGACUCUAAGGAGACUGCCGGUGACAAACCGGAGGAAGGUGGGGACGACGUCAAGUCAUCAUGGCCCUUAUGGGUAGGGCUACACACGUGCUACAAUGGGAAGUACAGAGGGUUGCGAUACCGCGAGGUGGAGCUAAUCUCAGAAAACUUUUCGUAGUCCGGAUUGCACUCUGCAACUCGAGUGCAUGAAGUUGGAAUCGCUAGUAAUCGCAGAUCAGAAUGCUGCGGUGAAUACGUUCCCGGGCCUU